This 59-nucleotide transfer RNA is filed under the name Ampullaceana lagotis. RNAcentral describes it as "tRNA-His". Lineage: Eukaryota; Metazoa; Mollusca; Gastropoda; Lymnaeidae. The record is from RNAcentral.
CUUCCUAUAGGUUAAUAGAAACCGAGGGUUUGUGGUACCCUAAAUAUUUUUUGGGAAGC